This 456-nucleotide ribosomal RNA is filed under the name uncultured bacterium. Its description in RNAcentral is "bacterial SSU rRNA". It matches the Rfam family "Bacterial small subunit ribosomal RNA", at positions 29 to 524 of the family's 1533-position model. The record is from RNAcentral.
AACGAACGCUGGCGGCAUGCCUAACACAUGCAAGUCGAACGCUCGUAGCAAUACGGGAGUGGCAGACGGGUGCGUAACGCGUGGGAACCUGCCCAGAGGUUCGGAAUAACUGCGGGAAACUGCAGCUAAUACCGAAUGUUGCCUGAGGGCUAAAGGAGUAAUUCGCCUUUGGAGGGGCCCGCGUCCGAUUAGCUAGUUGGUGGGGUAAUGGCCUACCAAGGCGACGAUCGGUAGCUGGUCUGAGAGGAUGACCAGCCACACUGGAACUGAGACACGGUCCAGACUCCUACGGGAGGCAGCAGUGGGGAAUCUUAGACAAUGGGGGGAAACCCUGGUCUAGCCAUGCCGCGUGAUCGAUGAAGGCCUUAGGGUUGUAAAGAUCUUUCAGUGGGGAAGGAUAAUGACGGUACCCACAGAAGAGGCCCCGGCUAACUCCGUGCCAGCAGCCGCGGUAAU